ACGCUCGACACCUACGGGGCAGCAGUGAGGAAUAUUGGUCAAUGGGCGCUAGCCUGAACCAGCCAAGUAGCGUGAAGGAUGAAGGCUCUAUGGGUCGUAAACUUCUUUUAUAUAAGAAUAAAGUGCAGUAUGUAUACUGUUUUGUAUGUAUUAUAUGAAUAAGGAUCGGCUAACUCCGUGCCAGCAGCCGCGGUAAUCUGAGCGGGCUGGCAAGGC
RNAcentral lists this ribosomal RNA (216 nucleotides) under uncultured bacterium. RNAcentral describes it as "partial 16S ribosomal RNA". It matches the Rfam family "Bacterial small subunit ribosomal RNA", at positions 326 to 539 of the family's 1533-position model. The record is from RNAcentral.